CAAGUCGAACGGUGAACACGGAGCUUGUUCUGUGGGAUCAGUGGCNAACGGGUGAGUAACACGUGAGCAACCUGCCCCUGACUCUGGGAUAAGCGCUGGAAACGGCGUCUAAUACUGGAUAUGUGACGUGACCGCAUGGUCUGCGUUUGGAAAGAUUUUUCGGUUGGGGAUNNUUUUNCGGCCUAUCAGCUUGUUGGUGAGGUAAUGGCUCACCAAGGCGUCGACGGGUAGCCGGCCUGAGAGGGUGACCGGCCACACUGGGACUGAGACACGGCCCAGACUCCUACGGGAGGCAGCAGUGGGGAAUAUUGCACAAUGGGCGGAAGCCCUGAUGCAGCAACGA
This 343-nucleotide ribosomal RNA is filed under the name Microbacterium sp. E4IPC-4787. Its description in RNAcentral is "bacterial SSU rRNA". It matches the Rfam family "Bacterial small subunit ribosomal RNA", at positions 58 to 396 of the family's 1533-position model. Lineage: Bacteria; Bacillati; Actinomycetota; Actinomycetes; Micrococcales; Microbacteriaceae. The record is from RNAcentral.